UACGAAGGGGGCUAGCGUUGCUCGGAAUCACUGGGCGUAAAGGGUGCGUAGGCGGGUCUUUAAGUCAGGGGUGAAAUCCUGGAGCUCAACUCCAGAACUGCCUUUGAUACUGAAGAUCUUGAGUUCGGGAGAGGUGAGUGGGACUGCGAGUGUAGAGGUGAAAUUCGUAGAUAUUCGCAAGAACACCAGUGGCGAAGGCGGCUCACUGGCCCGAUACUGACGCUGAGGCACGGAAGCGUGGGGAGCAAACAGG
This 253-nucleotide ribosomal RNA is filed under the name uncultured bacterium. RNAcentral's name for it is "partial 16S ribosomal RNA". It matches the Rfam family "Bacterial small subunit ribosomal RNA", at positions 524 to 776 of the family's 1533-position model. The record is from RNAcentral.